GUGAAUUAAAAUCUAUAAAAACAUGGCCUCUAAAUACUCACAAGUAUUACUUCUACUUGGAAUGAUGGUUCUUACUACUGUAGUGAGUGAUGGGCAUAAUAGUUUUGGGUAUGCGCCAAUGUUAGAUCCAGAGGAGGAUUGGCCAGACCAAUUCUUUCCACCACUUACCAUAAUUGAGGGUCGAAAGUCGCAUAGUUUUGGAUAUCCACCUAUAUUAGAUCCAGAAGAAGAUUGACCUAAUAACUAAUGAGAAAUCAUUUGUUUAUAAGCCAGUCCACAUUUCAAAGCUGUUGUAAGUACAAUUCUUUAUCAAAUGAAGUGUUUUUUUCUUCCCACUUUUGUAUAAAACUCUAAUUUUUAAGAAGUGAUGUACUAUUUGAAUAAAGGCUCUAUAAAUAUUUCUAUGUAUAUUAUAUCUCAUUUCAGCAACAAUAAUGCCUAUUACUAGUGGUUUUACCUAUGAUUAAUAUUUUGUUAUUGUCUACAAUUUAAUUAUUCAUUAUGUUAUAAAUAAUCAAUAAUUUUUUUUUUGACAAAAAAUAAUCAAUAAUAUUUGAACAUUCAUUAUUUCAAUACACUCAUUCAACAAAAUAUUUUCUUUUUGUCUAUAUUUUACAAUCACAUCAUCGAUAUAUCACCAAAAUAUUAUAUUUAUCUUAUCACAAUAUUUUUUUUUUCAAGAUAUCCUAGUAAGAACGGAUAUCCAAAAACAUUUUUUUAUAUUAAAAACCCAAAGAAAAAGAUCAAUUAGAUAACAUCUGUACGUCACAUGUUCUAGAACUAUAAACAUAAAAAUAUUCAAAUUAGUUAUGUGUAUCUAGAACAAAAGAUCCAUCUCCUUUCCUUAGACCAUCGAUAAGGUAAUCCUACCGUGGAGUAGAAAAUUUGAGGUUAAGUUGUAAUAUCCUGAUUUUUAAUAUUAAUAUGUUAAUAUAAUUAUUGGAUAAUAUUAGUAUUAUUGUCAAUUAUUAGUAUUGAUUGCUCGAUAUUAUGAAAUUAAAUUAUUCGUGAUUAUAGGUGUUAUGAAUAAUGAGGAAGUAGAGGAGUUAACUAGUUUGGUUAAAGAAUGAGAGAAAAUAAUUUUUUGGGAAGAAUAUAGUGUUUUUGGUAAGAAUAAGGAAGUAGAAUGCAAACAGAGGUGCAUUAGUAAAACUGGAUAGAAAAGAGGUGGAAGUUGCAAAGUGAUGGACAAAAUUGGCAAGUACACCAAAUUGUAAUAAGUAGUAAGUUGUAUCGUUCUUCACAAAGAUUGUCGUUCAACUCAAUAUAUAAUUUGCAAAACUUAUUUUAACACGGAAAAUAGUAAUGAUGGUUAGAAUUGCAGGGUUUAAUUGCCCGACCCAAUGCAAGAUUAGGUUUGUGUGAUUCAGAUGUGUAAUGUGAUUAGGGAAUCCGUGAAUCCCAUCUUCCUUCUUUGUUGGAUCAAUUCAAAGUCCUUAUUAAUUAAGACCUAAAAACUACAUAAACAAAGAACAAAGUACUCCCAUGAACAAUUAUGAAUAAAUAAGAAAUAAGUACUCCCAUGAACGAAUAAUUCCAGGUUGUCAAUCAUACUAAUCUUCUAUGAAUCAAUUUUCAAGAUUACCUAUACAGAUUUUCAAUUGAAAAAUAAUUACGAACAGACAAGUACAAAUUAAAUCGGACACCAGAAUAUAACUGAAUGAAAACUUUAUUAGUUGAAUCUAACAAAUAAGAAGGGGUUCAUAGUGGAACCCUAAUCAAGAGGUUUAUUUGCUCAUGGAAACAUACAUCAUAACAACAUAAAAUAAAAACAUACCCUAGGAAGAAUACAAGGAGGAGAAAUUCCUCCUUGAAUCUAUGAUGCUUGACCCUUGCUCUAAACCGCCAAUGUUUCUGAAUGAAUAAAAUAGUGUACAAGGGUCUCUAUUUAUAACGUAAGGUUGCUUAGGAUUUAAGUCGAGAAAGCUAUGAUUUUCUACCGAUCCAUGUAUGCUUGGGUUCUCUGGGUUUAUUUCUGAAGGAAUUUCCCUUCUUUAGUCCCAUGCACUUUGGGUUUUGUUGCUCAGAUUUAUUCAAGACCUUUGGAUUGGAGGAUAAUCUUGAAUACUCUUUGAACUAAAAUUUGAGUCCCGGUUGGCCAUGAAUCUAAAAGUCCUUUGUUUUGACUUAGUUAACACCUUGGAUCUUGACUUUCUUGUCUCUGAUGGGUUUUGAUUCUCUGCUUUUUCAGCAUUUGGAUUUGAGUAAAAGAGCAGACCCUUUUGAGUGCAAACAAAACAGGAUAAUUGAUUUGUCUUCACAAGAGUAUGUGUAUCCUUAACAGACGCACUUGUGAAGUCAAUUUCUCUCCCUUUUUUCUUACUAAUAUUGUGAGAUAUGGAAGCUAAUCUACUUCUAUCAAAAUCAUAAUCACUAGAUACUUCAGAUGAACUGUUGAAUUUAGUUGAAAGUAUGUCGAUUUCAUCUGGGUUAAAAGUUGCCUUAGCAUGAGAUUUUGUCUUGACAGAUAGUGAUUUUGGCGUCUCAAAGGUUUAACUCUUCUGAUAAAAAAUUAAAUUGUUUUUGCAAGUCCUUUAAGGAUCUUGAUUUGUUCAGAUAGAGUCUUAGAAGCCUUUUGACAUAAGGAAUAUACUCAUUACAGAUUUGUUCAUAGAUUACCUCAUCAUCCUCAUCUGAAUAUGAGCUUGGUUCUUCACCAGAAGAUGUUGUAACUACUAAACCCAUAUUAGCUUCCUCUUUGUUGUCCUUAGAGUCUGUAUCUUCAUCAAGCAUCUUCCAGGUUUCCAUGAAGAUUUCCUUGAGCUUUCACUUGUAGGUUUCCGUUUUGAGGUUUCCCUAUGCUGAUUAGCCCUAAUGUGCGUCAGGGAAAUCAGCUAUGAAGUGACCAUUCUUUCCACAGUUGAAGCAUCCUUUUUUAUUAUCUCUUUUGUCUGUGAAGCGGGAUGUCUUUAAGUCACUACUUCUGCUAGGAAAUCUUCUUUUCAUAGUCAAGUAAGUCAUCUCUUAAAAAUCUUCAUUAUCAUCAGAUUCAUCAUUUGAAUCCUUCUAUUCUGAUUUAGUAGUUUGAGGAGAUUUGGUGGUCUUUUCCUUAGAGGUAAAGGAAACAGACUUAGAGAGAUUGUUUGGUUCGUCACCUUCAAGUUCCAUCUCAUGGCUUUAGAGAGAAAAUAUCGGGUUCUCCAAGUCUUUUGCCUCUUGUAUGGUAGUGACUUUUGGCCUUAACCUUGCAAGAAGACUCGUAAGAAUCUUAUUUACAUGGUUUGGUGCAACAUAUCUUUUUUUUGGACCUUGAAGUCCAAAGAAAAGAGUUUGAAACCUUGAAUACAUGGUUUCAAUAUCUUGAUCCUCUUUCAUCUUGAAAAGCUCAAACUGGUAAACCAGCUGGUUUGCCAUAGCUUCCUUUACCUGCUGAUUUCCUUCGUAGGUAGAGUACAAUGAUUCAAAGAUGGACUUUCCAGUAGAUCUAUCCCCAAUCUUCGUGUAUUCAGUAUGAGGUAAAACUUCCACCAGAAUCCCUCUCACUCUAUGGUGCUUUUUAUAGAUCUUCUUUUGAGUGGCAGUCGACUUCUUCCUGUCUGUUAACAUUCCUUCUUCUUUAGCCUCAAAGCCAAGUCAAUCUUCAAUAACAUUCCAGAGUUCAUCAUUAAUCCCUAUGAUCUACCUAUAGAUUUUCCUCUUCCACCAAGACAACUGAGAGCAUCUCCAUUAAAAAAUGAAGGAUUAGCAGAAUAACUGUUCUUCUUAAUGGUGGAGAUGUUGUUGAUAUCAAGCUUGAAAGUUUCACUGAUCGAAGUCACGUCUUUCUCACUAGUUCUUUUUAUGUGGCACGGUUAGGUGACAGAGCACAUAACAGGCUCUAAUACAAACUAAAGGUGAGAAACACACAUAGGAAGGGGGGGUUGAAUUGUGGCCUUUUUGACGGUUUCUUUUUCUAAGCGUUUAAUACAGUCUUGGACAGAAUCUGAUGUUGCAGAUUCUGACUCAGAGUCUGCUUGUAGCAGAAAUACAGAACACACAGAUAAAAGAUAAAUAGUCCGAGAGAGAUAAGACAAACACAAGGCAAUUUAUAUUGGUUCCUCCCACAAAACAAGAGUAGUCUAGUUCCCUUGCACUUCUUAGGGAUUUCACUAUAAUCACUUAGAUUACAACUUGCUCAAGGAUACACCAAGAGACUUCUCAAUGCUCAAGCACACAGCAAGAGACUUCUAUGCUCUAGGACUCUAUCUAAAGACUACUUUUCUCAAGCACACUUGCAAGAGACUUCCCAAUGCUUAAGCACAACUGCUUAAGACUUUACCACUCUCAAUCACAACUAACUGACACUUUCUAGGUGCUCAAGGUUUCACUAGGAGACUUAUAUGCUCAAGCACGUAAGCAAAAGACUUUCUCAAAUAUUUGCCCCAACUACAAACAAUUUAACUUAUUCUUACACUUUUUCUAACUAGUAAGUCUAAACUGAACAAUAGUAGUGAUUUGAGAGACGUUGGAGAGGAGUGCCAACACAAAUAGAGUCAUUGACAAGCUUUGAUCAUGAACGUUGGCCUUUUGCCUGAUAUGAAUAAUCCCAAUGAAAAGUCCUUUGAAUUUCCUUUGCUAUUCGUUGUUAUCUUCGUUCCUAGUGUCCUUUGUCUGGUUGAACACGUUUAUGGAAGAAGACAAAAGAACUGCUAUAUCAGAUGCUAUGAUAGAGAUAACUCACAAAAUAAUAAAAUAGCUUAUGUGGAUUAUGGGUCCCUUAGAUCCAAGUAGCCAGUCAAAUUUUGUGUUUGAUGUCCUUCACAUGAUCUAUGGAGAUCACCCACUAGCUUAUGUGAGACUUCCUUCUUCUAAGGACGUGUACUUCUGGUUGAACUUCCAGUAGAUCUUCCACCAUAGUCUUAUAAGCUUCUCAAUCCCUUUAUGAUGCUAUUCAUAUGUUCCUUCUUCAAGGUAAGUAGAUCCUGCACACUUGAACAUAUGUUAGUAUUCCAAUUGUUCUUCAAUACUUUGUUAUCAUCAAAACCCAAGAGAAUUUAUUUGAACCAUUCUUGGUCUAACAAAGGAUUGCGUUAUUUCUGCUUGACUACUACGUUUGUGAUUAGCUUAUGUUAGGGGGGUUGCAGUUGUCAAUUAGUGUUUUUGAAGUGACAUAAAAGAGAGAGAUUAAAAGGCGACUAUGUCAAAUGAUAUUACCUUCUCUAAAAUUGUAUAGUAACUACAAGUUAUGAAUACAUUUUGGAUUGAUUCCUCGGUUUUAAUACAUUGAUGAAAGUAGUUAGGCAAUGUCUUGGUCAAUAACAAUCUUCAAUAGUUAUGACUUCCUAAUGUCUUAGGUUAGUCCAUAACCAUAGCAUGUUUAAUAACAUCAAAUUAAGUACACAAAUCUUUAUUACAAAAUAUAUAAAUUUAAUAACAACUGAACUAUUAAAUAUGUAUAAAAUGGUAGAAAUGUCAUUUCUGCGUGCACAAAAAUAAUCCCAAGAAAUGCAUAGUACCCUUUAGUGACCUUAUUUGGACAUUUUUAUUACUAAAGUAUAAAAUAUGAUAAAUAAUUUAAGUUGACGUGCUCAACACAAUAUUCUCAUAUUUGUUUUUUUUCUUAUAAAUAGAUGUCUCACUCUUUCCAUUUGUGUGAAUCAAAUUCCAUAAUAACAUGGCCUCUAAAUACUCACUAGUAUUACUUCUACUUGGAAUGAUGGUACUUACCACAGUAGUGAGUGAUAGGAGGCCAGACCUUUUCUUUGGGUAUGUGCCUGUAUUAGAUCUAGAAGAGGAUUGGCCAGACCUUUUCUUUCCACCAUCUACCAUUAUAGUGGGUGGAAAGCCAAAUAGUUUUAGAUAUCCGCCUAUAUUAGAUCCAGAAGAAGAUUAACCUAAUAACUAAUGAGAAAUAAUUUGUUUAUGAGCCUGUCCACAUUUCAAAGCUAUUAUAAGUACAAUUCUUUAUCAUAUGAAGUGUUUUUUUCUUCCCAUUUUUGUAUAAAACUCUAAUUUUUAAGAAGUGCUGUACUAUUUGAUAUUAUAAAACUCGAAUAAAGGCUCUAUAAAUAUGUCUAUGUAUAUUACAUCUCAUUUCAGCAAUAACAGUGCCUAUUACCACUGGUUUUACCUAUGAUUAAUAUUUUGUUAUUGUCUACAAUUUAAUUAUUCAUGAUAUGACAAAUAAUCGAUGAUAUUUGAUCAUUCGUCAUUACAAUAUACUUAUUCAACAUAAUAUUAUCUUUUUAGGAUUAAUAGUGUUUUUCUUCCGUAAUAUAAGUUAUUUUUGGUUUUUCCCCUGUAGUUUUUUUUUAUUUUAAUUUCAACCUUGUAAUUUGUAGAUUUUUUGUUGUAAUUUGAGCAAAUUUAGGUUUACCCCCUUGUAAUUUGAGCAAAUUUCGGUUUACCCUCUGUCAUAUCUUCAAUUUUGUACAGUCAAAAUUCAUGAAAGUCCAAAACCAAAAAUCUUCAAAUUACAAGGACAAAAUCCAAAAAAAAUAAUUUUAGAAGGGAUAAAACAUGAAAUGACCUAUAUUAUAAGGGGUAAAAUACUAUUAUAUUCACAAAGAUAUUAUAUUUAUAUUUUACAAUCACGUCAUUGAUAUAUCACAAAAAUAUUAUAUUAAUCUUAU
RNAcentral lists this long non-coding RNA (6551 nucleotides) under Medicago truncatula (barrel medic). RNAcentral describes it as "long non-coding RNA (MTRU_LNC005111)". The record is from RNAcentral. Lineage: Eukaryota; Viridiplantae; Streptophyta; Magnoliopsida; Fabales; Fabaceae.